AGAGUUUGAUCCUGGCUCAGAACGAACGCUGGCGGCAGGCUUAACACAUGCAAGUCGAACGCACCGCAAGGUGAGUGGCAGACGGGUGAGUAACGCGUGGGAAUCUACCCAAUACUACGGAAUAGCUCCGGGAAACUGGAAUUAAUACCGUAUGUGCCCUACGGGGGAAAGAUUUAUCGGUAUUGGAUGAGCCCGCGUUGGAUUAGCUAGUUGGUGGGGUAAUGGCCUACCAAGGCGACGAUCCAUAGCUGGUCUGAGAGGAUGAUCAGCCACACUGGGACUGAGACACGGCCCAGACUCCUACGGGAGGCAGCAGUGGGGAAUAUUGGACAAUGGGCGAAAGCCUGAUCCAGCCAUGCCGCGUGAGUGAUGAAGGCCUUAGGGUUGUAAAGCUCUUUCAGUGGGGAAGAUAAUGACGGUACCCACAGAAGAAGCCCCGGCUAACUUCGUGCCAGCAGCCGCGGUAAUACGAAGGGGGCUAGCGUUGUUCGGAUUUACUGGGCGUAAAGCGCACGUAGGCGGAUUGUUAAGUCAGGGGUGAAAUCCUGGAGCUCAACUCCAGAACUGCCUUUGAUACUGGCAAUCUUGAGUCCGGAAGAGGUGAGUGGAACUCCUAGUGUAGAGGUGGAAUUCGUAGAUAUUAGGAAGAACACCAGUGGCGAAGGCGGCUCACUGGUCCGGUACUGACGCUGAGGUGCGAAAGCGUGGGGAGCGAACAGGAUUAGAUACCCCCGUAGUCC
This 740-nucleotide ribosomal RNA is filed under the name uncultured Devosia sp. RNAcentral's name for it is "bacterial SSU rRNA". It matches the Rfam family "Bacterial small subunit ribosomal RNA", at positions 8 to 796 of the family's 1533-position model. Lineage: Bacteria; Pseudomonadati; Pseudomonadota; Alphaproteobacteria; Hyphomicrobiales; Devosiaceae. The record is from RNAcentral.